GCUGGCGGCGUGCCUAAUACAUGCAAGUCGAGCGCGGGAAGCAAGCUGAUCCUCUUCGGAGGUGACGCUUGUGGAACGAGCGGCGGACGGGUGAGUAACACGUGGGCAACCUGCCUGUAAGACUGGGAUAACCCCGGGAAACCGGGGCUAAUACCGGAUAAUACUUUUCAUCACCUGAUGAGAAGUUGAAAGGUGGCUUUUAGCUACCACUUACAGAUGGGCCCGCGGCGCAUUAGCUAGUUGGUGAGGUAACGGCUCACCAAGGCAACGAUGCGUAGCCGACCUGAGAGGGUGAUCGGCCACACUGGGACUGAGACACGGCCCAGACUCCUACGGGAGGCAGCAGUAGGGAAUCUUCCGCAAUGGACGAAAGUCUGACGGAGCAACGCCGCGUGAGUGAUGAAGGUUUUCGGAUCGUAAAGCUCUGUUGUUAGGGAAGAACAAGUGCCGUUCGAAUAGGGCGGCACCUUGACGGUACCUAACCAGAAAGCCCCGGCUAACUACGUGCCAGCAGCCGCGGUAAUACGUAGGGGGCAAGCGUUGUCCGGAAUUAUUGGGCGUAAAGCGCGCGCAGGCGGUCCUUUAAGUCUGAUGUGAAAGCCCACGGCUCAGCCGUGGAGGGUCAUUGGAAACUGGAGGACUUGAGUACAGAAGAGGAGAGUGGAAUUCCACGUGUAGCGGUGAAAUGCGUAUAGAUGUGU
This 701-nucleotide ribosomal RNA is filed under the name Virgibacillus halodenitrificans. Its description in RNAcentral is "bacterial SSU rRNA". It matches the Rfam family "Bacterial small subunit ribosomal RNA", at positions 35 to 701 of the family's 1533-position model. Lineage: Bacteria; Bacillati; Bacillota; Bacilli; Caryophanales; Bacillaceae. The record is from RNAcentral.